This 352-nucleotide ribosomal RNA is filed under the name Hypodacne punctata. Its description in RNAcentral is "partial 12S ribosomal RNA". Lineage: Eukaryota; Metazoa; Arthropoda; Insecta; Coleoptera; Cerylonidae. The record is from RNAcentral.
UAAAAAUGUAAUUUAUUUAAACUAAAUUAGUAUUAGUUAAGUUCUUGAAAAUUAAAAAUUUUGGCGGUAUUUUAGUCUAUUCAGAGGAACCUGUUCUAUAAUUGAUAAUCCACGAUAAAUUGAACUUAUUUUAAUUAAUUUGUAUAUCGUUGUAGUUUAAAUAUUUUUAAAGAAGAUUAAUAUUUAAUAUUUUUUAUGAAAAAAUAAAUCAAAUCAAGGUGCAGUUUAUAAAUAAGAAGAAAUGGGUUACAUUAUUAAUAAAUAUUGGAUUAAAAAUUGAAAAUUUUUUUGAAAUUGGAUUUGAAAGUAAUUGAAUAUAUUUUUGUAAAGUGAUUUUAGCUCUAAAAUAUGU